ACUUAAAUAGUUUAAAUUAAAAUGUUAACUUGUGGCGUUUAUGAUGUAAGAGGUUUACUUUAAGUA
RNAcentral lists this transfer RNA (66 nucleotides) under Jonas distinctus. RNAcentral describes it as "tRNA-His". Lineage: Eukaryota; Metazoa; Arthropoda; Malacostraca; Decapoda; Corystidae. The record is from RNAcentral.